AACGCACAUUGCGCCCUUUGGUAUUCCGAGGGGCAUGCCUGUUCGAGCGUCAUUUCAACCCUCAAGCUUCUGCUUGGUAUUGGGCUUUCAUCCAUUCCUUCGGAGAGGAUGUGCCUAAAACUCAUAGGCGGUUUUAAUCAACUCCUCUGCGUAGUUAUUUUUCUUUCGCUCUGGAUUUUUGGUUGAUAACUGGCCUAAAAACCUUUUCUCUAGAAGUUUGACCUCGGAUCAGGUAGGGAUACCCGCUGAACUUAA
This 255-nucleotide unclassified non-coding RNA is filed under the name uncultured Tubeufiales. RNAcentral describes it as "sequence contains 5.8S rRNA gene, ITS2, 28S rRNA gene". Lineage: Eukaryota; Fungi; Ascomycota; Dothideomycetes. The record is from RNAcentral.